Small nuclear RNA from Octodon degus (degu), 161 nucleotides. Its record names the gene U1. It matches the Rfam family "U1 spliceosomal RNA". From Rfam's summary of the family: U1 is a small nuclear RNA (snRNA) component of the spliceosome (involved in pre-mRNA splicing). Its 5' end forms complementary base pairs with the 5' splice junction, thus defining the 5' donor site of an intron. Lineage: Eukaryota; Metazoa; Chordata; Mammalia; Rodentia; Octodontidae. The record is from Ensembl.
AUACAUACCUGGCAAGGGAAAUACCGUGACCACAAACGUUUUCCCAGGGAGAGGCUUAUGCAUUGCACUCUGAAUGUGCUGACCCCUGAGGUGUCCCCAAAGGUGGGAAACUCAACUGCACAAUUUGUGGUAGUGGGAGACUGCAUUCCUGCUUUCUCUGC